RNAcentral lists this long non-coding RNA (246 nucleotides) under Elaeis guineensis (African oil palm). Its description in RNAcentral is "long non-coding RNA (EGUI_LNC073036)". The record is from RNAcentral. Lineage: Eukaryota; Viridiplantae; Streptophyta; Magnoliopsida; Arecales; Arecaceae.
ACAAUGUGAUUAUGAGCCGUCAUGCCGUCUUCUUGGAAAAGAAGUUUAAUCAAGAUGGAGGCAGUGGAAGGAAGAUUGAGCUUUUAGAGAAAAUCUCUGAAGAGCAUCGAGUCCAACAACCUGAACCUAAUAAUGAGCCAGUAGAUGUGAUACCUCCUCCACCUGUAGAUCAAGUAGGAUCUCCUAUCCUCCUAAAAGGUACUUAGGUAUUCUUACAAAAGAUUUAAAAGAAGCAUUUCCUGUGGG